AUACGGAGGGUGCAAGCGUUGUUCGGAAUUAUUGGGCGUAAAGAGCAUGUAGGCGGUCUGUUAAGUCUGGUGUGAAAGCCCGGGGCUCAACCCCGGAAGUGCAUUGGAUACUGGCAGACUUGAGUAUGGGAGAGGAAAGCGGAAUUCCGAGUGUAGGAGUGAAAUCCGUAGAUAUUCGGAGGAACACCAGUGGCGAAGGCGGCUUUCUGGACCAAUACUGACGCUGAGAUGCGAAAGCGUGGGGAGCGAACAGGAUUAGAAACCCCAGUAGUCC
This 274-nucleotide ribosomal RNA is filed under the name uncultured bacterium. RNAcentral's name for it is "partial 16S ribosomal RNA". It matches the Rfam family "Bacterial small subunit ribosomal RNA", at positions 523 to 796 of the family's 1533-position model. The record is from RNAcentral.